This 361-nucleotide unclassified non-coding RNA is filed under the name uncultured Ktedonobacteria bacterium. RNAcentral describes it as "contains 16S-23S intergenic spacer region". The record is from RNAcentral. Lineage: Bacteria; Bacillati; Chloroflexota; Ktedonobacteria.
UCCGGUUUGUUUCCGGCGGUCUCCCUAGAUAGACAACUAAGGACGAGGGUUGCGCUCGUUGCGGGACUUAACCCAACAUCUCACGACACGAGCUGACGACAGCCAUGCAACAUCUGUGCACCCGUCCCGAAGGAGGGCCUCUUUUCGGAGGCUUGCGAGUGCAUGUCAAGCCUUGGUAAGGUUCUUCGCGUCGCAUCGAAUUAAACCACACGCUCCGCUGCUUGUGCGGGUCCCCGUCAAUUCCUUUGAGUUUUAGUCUUGCGACCGUACUCCCCAGGCGGGCCACUUAAUGCGUUAGCUUCGGCACGGAAGGGGUCAACACCCCCCACACCUAGUGGCCAUCGUUUACUGCUAGGACUAC